AUUGAACGCUGGCGGAAUGCUUUACACAUGCAAGUCGAACGGCAGCACGGGGGCAACCCUGGUGGCGAGUGGCGAACGGGUGAGUAAUACAUCGGAACGUGCCCAAUCGUGGGGGAUAACGUAGCGAAAGCUACGCUAAUACCGCAUACGAUCUACGGAUGAAAGCGGGGGAUCGCAAGACCUCGCGCGAAUGGAGCGGCCGAUGGCAGAUUAGGUAGUUGGUGGGGUAAAGGCUCACCAAGCCGACGAUCUGUAGCUGGUCUGAGAGGACGACCAGCCACACUGGGACUGAGACACGGCCCAGACUCCUACGGGAGGCAGCAGUGGGGAAUUUUGGACAAUGGGCGCAAGCCUGAUCCAGCCAUGCCGCGUGCAGGAUGAAGGCCUUCGGUUGUAAACUGCUUUGUACGACGAAAGACUCUUCUAUAAAGAGGUCCAUGACGGUACCGUAAGAAUAAGCACCGGCUAACUACGUGCCAGCAGCCGCGGU
Molecule: ribosomal RNA, 490 nt
Filed under: uncultured bacterium
Lineage: Bacteria
Description: bacterial SSU rRNA
Rfam family: Bacterial small subunit ribosomal RNA
Source: RNAcentral